This 248-nucleotide ribosomal RNA is filed under the name Glomus sp. RNAcentral's name for it is "partial small subunit ribosomal RNA". The record is from RNAcentral. Lineage: Eukaryota; Fungi; Glomeromycota; Glomeromycetes; Glomerales; Glomeraceae.
UCGUCAUAAAAUGGUUGGAGGAAUGUAGCUUCGAUCUCGUAUUGAAGUGUUAUAGCCUUUGGCAGAUGUGAUGAUUGGGAUUGAGGAUUGCAACGAACCCUUCGGGGCUACCUGUCUGAUCUCUGAGAGUUGCUCUGGUGCUGAAAGCUUGCUUAUGGUAUCAAAGUUGACGUUCAAUAGGUUAGAACGGGAUAAGUUCGUUAAGGAUGUUGACGUAAUGGCUUUAAACGACCCGUCUUGAAACACGG